GACGAACGCUGGCGGCGUGCUUAACACAUGCAAGUCGAACGGAAAGGCCCUGCUUUUGUGGGGUGCUCGAGUGGCGAACGGGUGAGUAACACGUGAGUAACCUGCCCUUGACUUUGGGAUAACUUCAGGAAACUGGGGCUAAUACCGGCUAGGAGCUCCUGCUGCAUGGUGGGGGUGGGAAAGGUUCGGCGGGUGGGGAUGGACUCGCGGCUUAUCAGCUUGUGGGUGGGGUAGUGGCUUACCAAGGCUUUGACGGGUAGCCGGCCUGAGAGGGUGACCGGCCACAUUGGGACUGAGAUACGGCCCAGACUCCUACGGGAGGCAGCAGUGGGGAAUAUUGCACAAUGGGCGGAAGCCUGAUGCAGCAACGCCGCGUGCGGGAUGACGGCCUUCGGGUUGUAAACCGCUUUCGCCUGUGACGAAGCGUGAGUGACGGUAAUGGGUAAAGAAGCACCGGCUAACUACGUG
This 468-nucleotide ribosomal RNA is filed under the name uncultured bacterium. Its description in RNAcentral is "partial 16S ribosomal RNA". It matches the Rfam family "Bacterial small subunit ribosomal RNA", at positions 28 to 507 of the family's 1533-position model. The record is from RNAcentral.